GGAAUUUGCUAAUGAGGGAUUCUUAAGAGGUCAGAAGCACCUGCUUAAAAGUAUAAGUCGACGUAAACCUGCUCAUGGACAUGCUCAACAACAGCAGCAGCCACAUGGAAAUGCUCAACAACAGAUGCAGCCACCUGGACACAGUGCAUCCGUUGGGGCUUGUGUCGAGGUUGGGAAAUUUGGGCUUGAAGAAGAGGUUGAGAGGCUGAAAAGGGACAAGAACGUGCUUAUGCAAGAGCUGGUUAGGCUCAGACAACAGCAGCAAGCCACUGACAAUCAGUUGCAAGGGAUGGUGCAGCGCCUUCAAGGUAUGGAGCUGCGACAACAACAAAUGAUGUCGUUCCUGGCAAAAGCUGUCAACAGGCCUGGAUUCUUGGCACAGUUUGUUCAGCAGCAAAAUGAGAGUAAUAAGCGAAUAGCUGAAGGCAGCAAGAAACGAAGGAUUAAGCAGGAUAUUGAAUCACAGGAUCCAUCCGUUACUCCUGCGGAUGGACAGAUUGUUAAGUACCAACCUGGGAUAAAUGAGGCAGCAAAGGCAAUGUUGAGGGAGCUUUCAAAACUAGAUUCAUCUCCUAGAUUAGAUAACUUCAGCAACAGUCCUGAAAGUUUCCUGAUUGGUGAUGGUUCACCACAGUCUAAUGCAUCUUCAGGUCGUGUUUCGGGAGUCACUCUUCAGGAGGUCCCACCAACUUCUGGGAAGCCCUUGCUGAAUACAGCUUCAGCAAUUGCAGGUCAAAGUUUGUUGCCAGCCACUUCUGAGAUGCAGUCAUCUCAUCUUGGCACAUGUUCCGAAAUCAUCAACAAUCAAUUGUCAAACAUAAUCCCGUUGGUAGGAGGUGAAGAUUUGCAUCCUGGUUCACUUUCUGCAUCCGAUAUGAUU
RNAcentral lists this unclassified non-coding RNA (880 nucleotides) under Hevea brasiliensis (rubber tree). Lineage: Eukaryota; Viridiplantae; Streptophyta; Magnoliopsida; Malpighiales; Euphorbiaceae. The record is from RNAcentral.